CAUAUCCUACACAAGAGGUUUUUAACU
RNAcentral lists this non-coding RNA (27 nucleotides) under Rattus norvegicus (Norway rat). Lineage: Eukaryota; Metazoa; Chordata; Mammalia; Rodentia; Muridae. The record is from RNAcentral.